This 472-nucleotide ribosomal RNA is filed under the name uncultured bacterium. RNAcentral describes it as "partial 16S ribosomal RNA". It matches the Rfam family "Bacterial small subunit ribosomal RNA", at positions 28 to 507 of the family's 1533-position model. The record is from RNAcentral.
GACGAACGCUGGCGGCGUGCUUAACACAUGCAAGUCGAACGAUAAAGCCUGGCGCUUGCGGGGGGUGGGUGAGUGGAGAACGGGUGAGAAAUAUGAGAAUAACCUGCCCUUCACUGUGGGAUAAGCCUGGGAAACUGGGUUUAAUACUGGAUACGACACGCCUCUGCAUGGUGGUGUGUGGAAAGGGUUUUACUGGGUAUGGAUGGGCUGACGGCCUAUCAGCUGGUGGGUGGGGGACUGGCCUAACAAGGCGACGACGGGUAGCCGGCCUGAGCGGGUGACCGGCCAAAAUAGGGAAGAAAAACGGCCCCGCCUGCUACGGGGGGCAACAGUGGGGAAUAUUGCAAAAAGGGCGGAAACCUGGUGGAGCGAAACCCCGGUGGGGAUGAAGGCCGUCGGGGUGUAAACCUCUUUCGGCACGGAAGAAACGAGAGUGACGGUACGUGCAGAAGAAGCGCCGGCUAACUAAGUG